This 429-nucleotide ribosomal RNA is filed under the name Actinomycetes bacterium. RNAcentral's name for it is "Actinobacteria bacterium partial 16S ribosomal RNA". It matches the Rfam family "Bacterial small subunit ribosomal RNA", at positions 355 to 776 of the family's 1533-position model. Lineage: Bacteria; Bacillati; Actinomycetota; Actinomycetes. The record is from RNAcentral.
UAGGGAAUCUUCCGCAAUGGGCGAAAGCCUGACGGAGCAACGCCGCGUGAGUGAUGAAGGUCUUCGGAUCGUAAAACUCUGUUAUUAGGGAAGAACAAAUGUGUAAGUAACUAUGCACGUCUUGACGGUACCUAAUCAGAAAGCCACGGCUAACUACGUGCCAGCAGCCGCGGUAAUACGUAGGUGGCAAGCGUUAUCCGGAAUUAUUGGGCGUAAAGCGCGCGUAGGCGGUUUUUUAAGUCUGAUGUGAAAGCCCACGGCUCAACCGUGGAGGGUCAUUGGAAGCUGGAAAACUUGAGUGCAGAAGAGGAAAGUGGAAUUCCAUGUGUAGCGGUGAAAUGCGCAGAGAUAAGGAGGAACACCAGUGGCGAAGGCGACUUUCUGGUAUGUAACUGGCGCUGAUGUGCGAAAGCGUGGCGAUCAAACAGG